GAGCAGCGGAAAGAGGGUCUUUGCGGAAAGGGCGCCAGCCCCGGGCGGGGGCGAGCGGCAGACCUCGGGCUGGGAGGAAGGAGCUAGAGAUCUAGGAUUGGUUCUUCGGGCUCUAAUGUCACCAAGUCUGGGAGGGGAGACGGCCGCGGGGGAGGGUUCAGAGCUUGGCUCGGGUCCUGGCCGGUUCCCCCUGGACAGCCGGAGACUUGGGCCGGCCAGACGCCCCUCUGGCACGCUCCCGGGGCAGGCGCUCUCGCACGCCUCGAACGCACACUCCCCGUCCCUCCCUCGCGCACUCACCCGUCUCCCCAGCGCCUGCUCCCGCUUUCUCUCUCUCCCUUCCUAACACACCUCGCUCACUCCCACUCGGGCGGUCUCUUUCGCUCCCACCUGCUCCAAGUCUCGCUCUGCGCACCCCCGGUGGCGCGCCCAGCCCCUGGCGCUCUCGCCUGUCACUAUCGCAGCUUCGCAGCUUCGGCGGGCAGCGCCCCGACUCGCCCUGCUCCUUCUCGCAGAGGCGCGCCUGAUGCCCGGGACCCGCCGCUGAGCCCAGGAGACCAUGGUGGGAGCGCUUGCCCGCCGCGGUACCCACUGAGGCCAUGCCGGCGAGCCAGAGCCCGGCCGGCGCCGGCCAGCGCUUGCUUCUGCUCCUGCUACCGCUGCUGCUGCUGCUGCUGCUCCAGGGCAGCCACGCGGGCAACCUGACCGUGGCCGUGGUGUUGCCGCUGGCCAACACCUCGUACCCGUGGUCGUGGGCGCGCGUGGGGCCCGCGGUGGAGCUGGCUCUGACCCGGGUGAAAGCGCAGCCCGACUUGCUGCCAGGCUGGACAGUCCGCACGGUGCUAGGCAGCAGCGAGAAUGCGCUGGGAGCCUGCUCCGACACGGCUGCGCCCCUGGCCGCAGUGGACCUCAAGUGGGAGCACAACCCCGCCGUGUUCCUGGGCCCCGGCUGCGUGUACGCGGCCGCUCCGGUGGGGCGCUUCACCGCGCACUGGCGGGUGCCCCUGCUGACCGCUGGCGCUCCGGCGCUAGGCUUCGGGGCUAAAGACGAGUACGCGUUGACCACCCGCGCAGGACCCAGCCACGCCAAGCUGGGCGACUUCGUGGCGGCGCUGCAUCGACGGCUGGGCUGGGAGCGCCGGGCGCUGGUGCUCUACGCCUACCGGCCCGGCGACGACCAGCCCUGCUUCUUCGUGGUGGAGGGGCUGUACAUGCGGGUCCGCGACCGCCUCAACAUCACAGUGGACCACCUGGAGUUCGCCGAGGGCGACCACGACCACUACACCAAGCUGCUGCGGACCGUUGGGCGCAAAGGCCGAGGUGAGAGAGGCCCCCCACCCCCAUUUCUCCACCUCGUCCCGCCGCCUGUGACCUUUGACAGCGUGCAGGGCGCUGGCCUUCCUCUCCCUUCCGCUCUGGGCCAGUCUUUUCUCUUCUCGAGGCUCUUCAUUCCUGUCUCAGCCUCCCCCGCUCCCCAACUUCUGGGUUUCUACUUCCCUCUCUUUCCCUGCGCCCCCCUCCCCUUUCACGUUCCUACUCCAUCACCUCCCCCUAUUUCCCUGACUGCCCAGGGUUUACCCCAGGGGGAAAGUGCCUGCUCUCCUUCUACCUAGUAGGUCCUGUCCCCUUUUCCCCCCCGUCUUCCUCUCUUUCUUACUGCCUUCUCCCUCCUCCAUCCUUUCCUCCCAUGGCUCCCACACACCCUCUCACCCAUCCCUCUGCAGCCGGCCCCUCUCUGCCUCCUCCCCUCCUGCCCCACCUGCCCCCCGCCUCGGUUCUCCUUUCCCGCUCUGCCUACCUCUGCUCCUUCCUUCUCCGCCCUCCACACCUCCUCCUCCCACCCUUUUCCAACUUUCUCCUGCCACUGCCUAAACUGAGCCAGUGCCGUUUAACCGCCACCAGGUCCCCUCGUCCUCCCCGUGAGCCCCGGCUUCCCUGCCCUUUCCUUUCCCUGGCUGACUCCUCCUUUCCUUCCAGUCGUCUACAUCUGCAGCUCCCCAGAUGCCUUCAGGACCCUCAUGCUCCUGGCCCUGGACGCUGGCCUCAGUGGGGAAGACUAUGUUUUCUUCCACCUGGAUGUCUUCGGGCAAAGCCUACAAGGGGCACAGGGCCCUGCUCCCCGCAGGCCCUGUGAGAGAGGAGACGGGCGGGAUGUCAGUGCCCGCCUGGCCUUUCAGGUGAGUGCCAGGGUUUGCCCAUGCUGAGGGACUGAGCUGUUGACACUUGGUUUCUGGAUACUGUGUCCCUAAGUAUCUGAAAGGAGGGGGAAAAAAAAAAGGUGUUCUUGGUGCUCCUGAGGGACUUCAGAGCCAGAAGGCUAAAAAGAUAAGACAAUGGGGCUCGAAGAGGGAGUACAUUGAAGUUCCACACGCUGGGCGAAGACUCCAGUCCCUUGCUCAAGAGCAGGGACCACUUCUUGCAGGAAAUAGGGUAUAAUUUGACCUUGACCUUAGCAGAGAGGCUGGCCUGUGAGGUUGGCUCCCUGACAACUGGUGCCAAGGGUACUGGGAGAACAAGAAUCAGCUCCUAGCUCGCUCUCUGACCCCUUCCUCAGGCUGCCAAAAUCAUUACAUAUAAAGAACCGGAUACUCCUGAGUACUUGGAAUUCCUGAAGCAGCUCAAAGUCUUGGCCCGUGAGCAGUUCAACUUCACCAUGGAAGAUGGCCUGGUAGGAGGGGGUCCUGGAACCUUCUAGUGCGGACCUCCAGACUUUGCUUCAUGGCUCUCCUCCAGACUCUCCUCCAGAUGUGUGUUCUUUCACACAUCUCAGUGUUUCCGGGUCUCCCCUUCCCUCCCUUCCCAUUGACUCCUUAUCUCUCUGGAUGAUAGAGGUGACAGUGACAAGUUCAACCCCUAAACCUCAGGUCCUCAUCAGUAAAAUGGGGUUGACCAACCCUGUCCUGUCCGCCCAGUCCCAUACUGUGGGUGUAUUUUAUGUAUCCUGUCUGGGCUCCCAGUGCCUCCUGUCCUCUCGCCAUGGCACCCUGCGCUGUACCCCCCAUCCAUCCCCUUUUCCCCCAGCUGACUUCUCUCUGUCCCUGCAGGAGAACCUCAUCCCUGCAUCCUUCCAUGAUGGGCUUCUGCUCUAUGUCCAGGCAGUGACAGAGACGCUAGCACACGGGGGAACUGUCGCCAAUGGGGAGACCAUCACUCAGAGGAUGUGGAACCGAAGCUUCCCAGGUCAGGGCCUGGGAGUGACUGGAAAGGGCUUUUUAGGGAAGGGGGGGUGAGUACCAUGUGCCCCAGCCUGUAGCCCUGCAACUCAGGUAGCCAUUUGCCCAUUACCAGUCUUUCCCUUUCUUUUAUAAGAACCUCCACAGCUUCUUUCAGGCUCUCCUUCCCUCGUCCCCCAGAUCCAUCCAGUCCUCCCACGUGUCCCAUCUCAGUCCUUCCUGCUGCCAACGCAGCUGUCCUGUUGGCUCUUCUUCUGUGCCUACGUGUGUUUGAAGAUCAGGAGAUGGAGACAUGGAAGUGGGACCUCCCUGCACGGGAAUUUUCUCACAACACAGCUAUGUUGCCCCGGCCCACAGGUGUGACAGGAUACCUGAAAAUUGAUAGCAAUGGAGAUCGUGAGACUGACUUCUCCCUCUGGGAUAUGGACCCUGAGACCGGUGCCUUCAGGGUACGUGUGCACACUCAGAAGACCACCGUGUGUCUCCUCAGGAUGACAUCUCACCCUCCUGCCCUCCCCCACAGCCCUGCCAGGGCAUCUGUUUAUUCUGUGAUCACCCUACCCUGCCUGGACAUCUAUGAAAGCCCUGGACAAAACAGACCCCGUUCCAUUCUGGGGGAGCAACCAGAAUGAUAGGGAUUCGCAUGGGGAACCCCGUGUCUAAGGAGGGAGCACAGCCCUUUCCUUGGGGAGUUCUUAAGGAAAGCAAGACUCCUCGCAGCAGUCAGGUAGACUCUGAGCCAACAGGAAUGCAUACGCACAGCUCACAGCUCGGUAAACACAGUAGAUACUGGCAGGGAUUGAGGCCAGAGGCACCAAGGAUCAAAUCCAGGAAGGCUUCCUGGAAGAAAACUGCACUGAUGAGGCUUGGGAAUGUGGGUUGAGAUGGAUGCUACCUUUCCCUGUUUCUGUGCUUUAAUCGAGGCUAUAAAGUCCUUGCGUGUAGGCGUGGGGUUCUAUAUGCAGCUUUCUUUAUAAAGCCCUUGAGUCAUUUUCAAAUGUUUGCCCCUUAAUUCCAUGGGAACAAGUAUGAGGUCUCCCUGUAGGCGGUCACAGCAGGGGCUUGGUGACCCAGAUACAGGCCCUGGAAGUAUUGAUGAGGAGGUGGGAAGCAGGACUGUGUCACUGGACAGGAGGCCACAUGCCAGGCCCUUGACCAUUCCUGCUCUCCCUUAGGUUGUACUGAACUACAAUGGGACUUCCCAAGAGCUGGUGGCUGUGUCAGGGUGCGAACUAUACUGGCCCCUGGGGUAUCCUCCUCCUGACAUCCCUAAAUGUGGCUUUGACAACGAGGACCCAUCCUGCAACCAAGGUGACUGGCCCUUGCUCUUCGGGCUGCUGUUCUGGAGACACUGCCUCCUCCCAAGGGGAAUCAAGUGGGUGCUCCUCUCCUACCCUUUUCUGGAUUCAGAGCCUCCUCCUGCCUUUUGCUUCCCUUCAUCCACCGCUGUUG
This 4625-nucleotide long non-coding RNA is filed under the name Marmota monax (woodchuck). The record is from RNAcentral. Lineage: Eukaryota; Metazoa; Chordata; Mammalia; Rodentia; Sciuridae.